RNAcentral lists this ribosomal RNA (480 nucleotides) under uncultured bacterium. RNAcentral's name for it is "partial 16S ribosomal RNA". It matches the Rfam family "Bacterial small subunit ribosomal RNA", at positions 29 to 507 of the family's 1533-position model. The record is from RNAcentral.
AUGAACGCUGGCGACGUGCUUAACCCAUGCAAGUCGAACGAAGCACUUUAUUUGAUUUCCUUCGGGACUGAUUAUUUUGUGACUGAGUGGCGGACGGGUGAGUAACGCGUGGGUAACCUGCCUUGUACAGGGGGAUAACAGUUGGAAACGGCUGCUAAUACCGCAUAAGCGCACGGCAUCGCAUGAUGCAGUGUGAAAAACUCCGGUGGUAUAAGAUGGACCCGCGUUGGAUUAGCUAGUUGGUGAGGUAACGGCCCACCAAGGCGACGAUCCAUAGCCGACCUGAGAGGGUGACCGGCCACAUUGGGACUGAGACACGGCCCAAACUCCUACGGGAGGCAGCAGUGGGGAAUAUUGCACAAUGGGCGAAAGCCUGAUGCAGCGACGCCGCGUGAGCGAAGAAGUAUUUCGGUAUGUAAAGCUCUAUCAGCAGGGAAGAUAAUGACGGUACCUGACUAAGAAGCACCGGCUAAAUACGUG